GGGUAUAUAGCUCAGUGGUAGAGCACAUGCUUAGCAUGCACGAGGUCCCGGGUUCAAUCUCCAGUACCUU
RNAcentral lists this transfer RNA (70 nucleotides) under Camelus bactrianus (Bactrian camel). It matches the Rfam family "tRNA". Rfam says of the family: Transfer RNA (tRNA) molecules are approximately 80 nucleotides in length. Their secondary structure includes four short double-helical elements and three loops (D, anti-codon, and T loops). Further hydrogen bonds mediate the characteristic L-shaped molecular structure. tRNAs have two regions of fundamental functional importance: the anti-codon, which is responsible for specific mRNA codon recognition, and the 3' end, to which the tRNAs corresponding amino acid is attached (by aminoacyl-tRNA synthetases). tRNAs cope with the degeneracy of the genetic code in two manners: having more than one tRNA (with a specific anti-codon) for a particular amino acid; and 'wobble' base-pairing, i.e. permitting non-standard base-pairing at the 3rd anti-codon position. Lineage: Eukaryota; Metazoa; Chordata; Mammalia; Artiodactyla; Camelidae. The record is from Rfam by way of RNAcentral. RNAcentral also lists the same sequence under 2 other names.